AAGUCGUAACAAGGUUUCCGUAGGUGAACCUGCGGAAGGAUCAUUAAAGAGUAAGGGUGCUCAGCGCCCGACCUCCAACCCUUUGUUGUUAAAACUACCUUGUUGCUUUGGCGGGACCGCUCGGUUCCGAGCCGCUGGGGAUUCGUCCCAGGCGAGUGCCCGCCAGAGUUAAACCAAACUCUUGUUAUUAAACCGGUCGUCUGAGUUAAAAUUUUGAAUAAAUCAAAACUUUCAACAACGGAUCUCUUGGUUCUCGCAUCGAUGAAGAACGCAGCGAAAUGCGAUAAGUAAUGUGAAUUGCAGAAUUCAGUGAAUCAUCGAAUCUUUGAACGCACAUUGCGCCCCUUGGUAUUCCGAGGGGCAUGCCUGUUCGAGCGUCAUUACACCACUCAAGCUAUGCUUGGUAUUGGGCGCCGUCCUUAGUUGGGCGCGCCUUAAAGACCUCGGCGAGGCCUCACCGGCUUUAGGCGUAGUAGAAUUUAUUCGAACGUCUGUCAAAGGAGAGGACUUCUGCCGACUGAAACCUUUAUUUUUCUAGGUUGACCUCGGAUCAGGUAGGGAUACCCGCUGAACUUAA
Molecule: ribosomal RNA, 577 nt
Filed under: uncultured fungus
Lineage: Eukaryota; Fungi
Description: eukaryotic LSU rRNA
Rfam family: 5.8S ribosomal RNA (bases 227-380)
Source: RNAcentral